GUACCCGUGAGGGAAAGUUGCAAAGCACUUUGAAGAGAGAGUUAAAGAGGACGUGAAACCGGUAAGAUGGAAACGGAUAGAGCUAGCGAUGCCGUUUGUUUCAGUCAACUGUUGUUGCCUACUGGCCUUCAGAAUGUUAAUCCUUCUGCUGGUCUUUACGGUGGCGACUGAGAUGUAUGCAGACGGUUGCGCUGAGACUUGUGGAGCAGUUGUUGGACGCUUGAAUAGAGGCUUCUCUCUGGGUUGAACCUGUUCUUGUUGACAUCAAUUUGCUCUGCUCGUACGAGUUCGGUACCUUGGUGUUUCGGUGGUGCAUUGAGUUGGAGUCACAUGUGACUAUCGGUUCUGUGUGCUUUCGAGGCGUUAAGGUUCCCGAGUUCACUCUCGGUGUAGAAGCUGGUCACCUAUCCGACCCGUCUUGAAACACGGACCAAGGAGUUUAGCGUAUGCGCGAGCCAUUGGGUGUAAAACCCACAGGCACAAUGAAAGUGAAGGCCCAGUCGCUGGGCUUACAUGUGAGUGGGAAGUCUCCGGACAACCACGCAACAUGGUCCCGUUCUAGUUGCUUGCAACGGAGCGGAGAUAGAGCGUAUGCGCUGAGACCCGAAAGAUGGUGAACUAUUCCUGAGCAGGACGAAGCCAGAGGAAACUCUGGUGGAAGUCCGAAGCGAUUCUGACGUGCAAAUCGAUCGUCUGACUUGGGUAUAGGGGCGAAAGACUAAUCGAACCAUCUAGUAGCUGGUU
RNAcentral lists this ribosomal RNA (744 nucleotides) under Paratylenchus leptos. RNAcentral's name for it is "partial large subunit ribosomal RNA". It matches the Rfam family "Eukaryotic large subunit ribosomal RNA", at positions 348 to 956 of the family's 3401-position model. Lineage: Eukaryota; Metazoa; Nematoda; Chromadorea; Rhabditida; Tylenchulidae. The record is from RNAcentral.